CCCUUCGAUAGUCUGGGCGGCACGCGUGCUACAAUGAAUGGCGGAGCGUGUGACAUUUCAUAAAUGAGUAGUGAAUCACCGAAACCAUUUCGUGUCUGGGAUAGUUUUUUGCAAUUCUCGAACUUGAAAGAGGAAUCCCUUGUAAAUACGCUAAAGAACAGCGUUUUGAAUACGUCCCUGUCAAAUGUACACAGCGCCCGUCGUUUCUUCCGACUGACACCUACGAUGAAUUACGGGGAUUUGAGGAGAACCGUUGUAAAUCUUGGGUGUUGGAGGAAGAAAAAGUCGUAACA
This 293-nucleotide ribosomal RNA is filed under the name uncultured eukaryote. RNAcentral describes it as "partial 18S ribosomal RNA". It matches the Rfam family "Eukaryotic small subunit ribosomal RNA", at positions 1470 to 1796 of the family's 1831-position model. The record is from RNAcentral.